GGCGGUUCUCGGGUGAUGCACCCCGGAAUCGGGCUUCCUCUUCUCUGGUUCCAGGGUGCAUCAUCCGAGAACUGCU
Myotis davidii is the source of this 76-nucleotide non-coding RNA. NCBI's taxonomy places the organism in Eukaryota, Metazoa, Chordata, Mammalia, Chiroptera, Vespertilionidae. The record is from Rfam.